This 406-nucleotide ribosomal RNA is filed under the name uncultured bacterium. RNAcentral describes it as "partial 16S ribosomal RNA". It matches the Rfam family "Bacterial small subunit ribosomal RNA", at positions 29 to 526 of the family's 1533-position model. The record is from RNAcentral.
AUUGAACGCUGGCGGCAGGCCUAACACAUGCAAGUCGAACGAGUGGCGGACGGGUGAGUAAUGUCUGGGAAACUGCCUGAUGGAGGGGGAUAACUACUGGAAACGGUAGCUAAUACCGCAUACCCUCGGAUGUGCCCAGAUGGGAUUAGCUAGUAGGUGGGGUAAAGGCUCACCUAGGCGACGAUCCCUAGCUGGUCUGAGAGGAUGACCGGCCAAGCGGGAAAGGAGAAUCAGUGCAAGCUCGUAGGAGAAGCGGCAGGGGGGAAGAUUGCAGGAUGGCCGAAGGCCUGCAGCAGCGAUGCCGCGUGUAGGAGCAGGGAAAUAAGGUUUUUAAGUACUUACGACGGGGAGGCGUACCACGUAGAAGAAGAACCGGCUGACUCCGUGCCAGCAGCCGCGGUAAUAC